Molecule: long non-coding RNA, 1579 nt
Organism: Phasianus colchicus (ring-necked pheasant)
Lineage: Eukaryota; Metazoa; Chordata; Aves; Galliformes; Phasianidae
Source: Ensembl
AUGAUGGCAAGGAGUAAUGGCCUGCAGCUGCCCGGCCCCUGCCCACCCCUACCAACCAGAGCCAGGACUGAUGCACAGAGCACAGAGCUCAGCACAAGCAGGUCAGGAUGGCUCAGGAAAGGGUGGCAUCGGUGGAGCAGGGCUGAGUCUCAGGGCACAAUGGCACACCCCAGCUGUCUGCUUCUCCUGGUUCACCCAGUAGGGUGUGGGCUGGCACUGAGAUGUGCAGUGAAGCCAUGGCCCUCCCUUCUCCCCACUGCAGGACCCACUCGACCCAGGAUGAGACCUUGGAGCUGCGCAGAGGAACUCCUGCAUAUGGGGGGGAGCAGCCAGCUGCCCCCCCUUCCCAAGGCAGACCAGCUCUGGCCAGGAUUGUCAGGCUUGUGCUGGUGCUGCGGGACUGGGCCAGCAAGAGCUUGCAGGAGGAGCAGCAGAAGCCAGACCCCUUCCUUGAGCGCUUCCAGGGUCCUGAGCUGCAGACAGUGCCUGCUGAUGCCAGCAGUGAUCCAGAGGAUGAGGAGGCCGAGGAGAAAACCAAAAAGUAGGGCCCUUCCCUGUGACGCAGCCUCCCUGGGCUGAAGAUUGGCCACAGGCGAUGCUGUGUCAGCAGCAAUGGGAGAAGGGCAGGUGUCCCACGGGCAGUGGGCUCAGCUCUGCCCAGGGACAGGGGGUGGCAGCAGCGGGAGGGCUCCGCUGUGCUCUGCUGGCAUCUGAGCCAAAGUGGGUCUGCAAAAAGCUGUACUGGCCAAGGAGGAGCCAAGGGACGUGGAGAGUCCACACUGGAUGCCAAGGCAAGCACAAACCAGUGGGCUCCUCCAGCCUCAUUCAUCAUUGCAGGAGGAAGGGAGAUGAAGGGAGUGCGUUUUGCUGCCCGUCUCCCCGCCUCCGAGGGCAGACACCGUGACGGCAGCUUUCUGAAAAGGCUCAUUCAGACCCAGUGCUUUCAUCUCCUCACUUCGCACUGCCGGUGAAAAGCAAUAACCUGGCUUUUCUUCAGCUGGCUAAUUAAGGGGCAAAGCUCACGACUAGUCUGGACCCUACCAUUGUACACGGUAAUUAAAACACCAAGAAAUGAAUCCUUUUCUAUAGGAGGCAAGUAUCUGAGCCUUGUAUCAAGGCUGUUACUAGUCACGGGAAAAAAAAAGUGCUCUGCCCUGCGAGGUGAAAAGGAGCUUGUUAAUUACUGGAGGGAGAGGAGCUGAUGUGUGCUGAGAGGGCUGCUCCGUGCCUACGGCUCCCUGGGAAAAGCUGCACUCUGCACGGUAUCUGCAGGGGAUGGGACAGUAGAAUUUAGUGCCAUCACCCUACGGUCUGUAAAUCCCUGCUGAAGGGAUAAGAUUAAGGUCCCUGGGCUGGGGGAGGUGUGUACAUUUGGUGCUGCCCCACAGACUUCAGAAGGGGGACAACUACACUCCUGGGGAGAUGGUGGCAUUGGUGACUUAAAGCUGAAACUACCAACAUGAUUAUCGUUGCUAUUGAGAUUAUUAGUACUUGUGAUACAGGUAUUACAGCAGUGCUGGCUGGUUGCAGGUAAGUUGGUAUUUCCCAGAUGCCAGUUACCUUAUGCCUCAGAUUGCAA